UACGGAGGGUGCGAGCGUUGUCCGGAAUCAUUGGGCGUAAAGGGCGCGUAGGUGGCGGGACAAGCGUGCGGUGAAAUCCCCGGGCUCAACCUGGGAAUGGCAUUUGGGACUGCAAGGCUGGAGUGCGGCAGAGGAGACUGGAAUUCCUGGUGUAGCAGUGAAAUGCGUAGAUAUCAGGAGGAAUACCGAUGGCGAAGGCAGGUCUCUGGGCUGACACUGACGCUCAUGCACGAAAGCGUGGGGAGCAAACAGG
This 253-nucleotide ribosomal RNA is filed under the name uncultured bacterium. Its description in RNAcentral is "partial 16S ribosomal RNA". It matches the Rfam family "Bacterial small subunit ribosomal RNA", at positions 524 to 776 of the family's 1533-position model. The record is from RNAcentral.